AAAUUGAAGAGUUUGAUCAUGGCUCAGAUUGAACGCUGGCGGCAGGCCUAACACAUGCAAGUCGAACGGUAACAGGAAGCAGCUUGCUGCUUCGCUGACGAGUGGCGGACGGGUGAGUAAUGUCUGGGAAACUGCCUGAUGGAGGGGGAUAACUACUGGAAACGGUGGCUAAUACCGCAUAACGUCGCAAGACCAAAGAGGGGGACCUUCGGGCCUCUUGCCAUCAGAUGUGCCCAGAUGGGAUUAGCUUGUUGGUGAGGUAACGGCUCACCAAGGCGACGAUCCCUAGCUGGUCUGAGAGGAUGACCAGCCACACUGGAACUGAGACACGGUCCAGACUCCUACGGGAGGCAGCAGUGGGGAAUAUUGCACAAUGGGCGCAAGCCUGAUGCAGCCAUGCCGCGUGUAUGAAGAAGGCCUUCGGGUUGUAAAGUACUUUCAGCGGGGAGGAAGGUGUUGCGGUUAAUAACCGCAGCAAUUGACGUUACCCGCAGAAGAAGCACCGGCUAACUCCGUGCCAGCAGCCGCGGUAAUACGGAGGGUGCAAGCGUUAAUCGGAAUUACUGGGCGUAAAGCGCACGCAGGCGGUCUGUCAAGUCGGAUGUGAAAUCCCCGGGCUCAACCUGGGAACUGCA
RNAcentral lists this ribosomal RNA (635 nucleotides) under Salmonella enterica subsp. enterica serovar Infantis. RNAcentral describes it as "bacterial SSU rRNA". It matches the Rfam family "Bacterial small subunit ribosomal RNA", at positions 1 to 625 of the family's 1533-position model. RNAcentral also lists the same sequence under 1 other name. Lineage: Bacteria; Pseudomonadati; Pseudomonadota; Gammaproteobacteria; Enterobacterales; Enterobacteriaceae. The record is from RNAcentral.